CCGUCAUUCGCAGGCUGGCCUGUCAUUCUGCCCCGGUACCAGAUGCGCUUUCUGGAGAAGCUCCCUCCCCUCCCCCUCAGCAGCUCGGCGCCCAUGCUGCGAACAUGGCGGAGGACGGCAGCGCGGACAUUUCCAGACCGCAGAUGUAUCUGUUCGGUUGUGAGCUGAAGUCAGACAAGAAGGAGUACAAGAUCGAAGCGGACGACGAUGAGGAGACUGAGCACCAGCUGUCCCUCAAAACGGUAUGUUUGGGAGCGCAGGCAGAGGAUCGCUUCAACAUGGUAGAGAUGGAAGGCAUGACCUUCGAUGGGAAAAUGACCAAAGUGCAGCUGGCUGUCCUGAAGCCGUCCGUCCUUCCUUCUCUGAAUUUGGGGGGGUUCGAGGUCACACCCCCCGUCACGUUUCGGCUCAAGUCUGGCCCGGGCCCGGUCUACAUCAGCGGCCAGCACUUUGUCAGUGUGAAGGAAUCUGAUGAUGAAGAGGAUGAAGACGAAGAGGAGGAAGAAAAUAACACGUCGCCGAUGAAGAGGCCUUCAAGUUCGGGAAAGGUUCCCAUGCCAAAAAAAAUAAAGUUGGAUGAUGAAGAUGAAGACGAUGACGACGACGACGAAGAUGAUGACGAUGAUGACGACGAUGACGAUGAAGAGGAUGAGAUGCCUGAGAAAAAGUUGAAAAAUACAUCAGUUAAAACUCCACAUGUGGGUGCAGAUGCCCAGGGUAAGAAAGCCAAGACAGCGUCGAGGCCCAAUGGCUCUCCGGACAAGUCUUCUGGCCCAGCAGGGAAGCCACAAGCUAAGAGCCCCAAAGGAGGUAAAGAGAAUCCGGCAGCAGGGACCCCCGAAAACGCUGUCUGUGAGCGACGUGAAAAACAAACUGACCACCGUCGUCAAAGAACGGAAGCCUCUGCCAAAGACUGAGCAGAAAUUUGAAAAUUUUGCCCGGAGCUGUUUUAAGAUCUCAGAUAAAAAUGUAAUCAAAGAACUUUGGACGUUUGUACAGACACUGAAGUCUGAGAAGAAAUAAUGAAACUGUAGCACUUCGAGUGACAAUGUUAUGUCAUCCUGUUUUUUUGUUUUAAUUCCUUUAUUUUUUACUACCCCAUGAGUCAGACAUAGACUGGUUAGUCACCUGUGAGAUUAAUAAGCCCCUUGACGUUCGAUUUAUGUUGCAUCUUAUGGAAAUUCUGUUCUCCGAAAGUGUAGUUGACAAGCAGUAAGCUAAGGAUACGAUUUAAAAAUAGUUUAUCCCAGGUCCUGGUUUAAACUUCAUACUGCUGAUGGAGUGGGUGCAUGUUUUUCCAUUCAUGAUCAGCUUUAUUGUAAACUGAGCAUUCAGACUCACAAAUUCAGGUUGAAGACUAUUGCCGAUAGUCCUUUGUGUUCGAGCUGUGUUUGAAUUUCAGCAGUAUGGCCCCUGUUAGCUGUUUAAAAUGCUUUUUGUGACUAACUUUCUGUCAUUUGUAACCCUGAGUUAGUCAGUGUUGCGAAGGCAGUUCAGCACUGGGAGCUGAUGGGUUUUUGCAUAUUUUUUGAGGGCAUUCGGCAGAACUCUGUUGCUUAAUUUCUUGUCUCUUGUCCUUUUGCAAUUGCUUUUUGCUUUUACUAUUUGACUUAAAUGCAAUACUAAUAGGUGUCCUUUGCUAUAUUUCAAAGUCAUUGUUUUUAUGGUCCAACCCAGAAACCUACACUUCUUAGAACCUUAUGUUUUACUGAUCGGUGUUUCCUGUCUAUCUGACAUUUCCUCCUUUUAGUUUAUAGACAAAAGGUGUGUGAAUAGCUGUAAGAAAAUGCUGAAACAUUUUGAACAUCAGUGAGCAGAUUGUCCCGAUUGUGACCCUUGAAAAUUCAUUGUUCAGAUCACUGGAAAACUUGCUUCUCAGUGAAAUGCAUCUCUUUUAGUUCUGGGGGCUAAAGCCUUAAUUAAGAUUGUAAUUUUCAUUUUAGAUAAGGAUUUUUAUUUUUAUUUUUUUUUAGUCCAUUGACCGAGAACGGUGUUUGAGUCAAAUUUCCAUGGAUGUCACUGUAUUACUGAUCUAUGAAUCACCGUAAAUCAUAUUUGUGUUGAUUUAAGGAACAUGGGAAAGAAAAGAAAAUAAGUCCAUCCAUUUUUUUUAAGAUCUCCGUUAAAAUAAACGUAAUAAAAUGUAUUUUGACCCUU
Molecule: RNA transcript, 2157 nt
Organism: Brienomyrus brachyistius
Lineage: Eukaryota; Metazoa; Chordata; Actinopteri; Osteoglossiformes; Mormyridae
Gene: npm1b
Gene name: nucleophosmin 1b
Exons: 11
Source: RefSeq, a predicted model, not a curated record